AUUAAUUGGGACCGGGGUCGAUUCGGAUAAUCGAAAAUUCGGAUAAUCGGACAUAGACUGGUAAUAAAGAAAAACGAACCGUCACACAUAGAAUAAACUUUAUUAAAUUUAACAAACUCAAUUCUACAAUAUGUAAGUAGUGCACUAGAGUUUCAACUUGUGACAACAAAACAAAACAAAACAAAAAUUACAUUACUUACUUACAGUGCUUGGUUUUAAUUUUUUAUAUUACGCUUAGGACCGAUUCGGAUAAUUGGCGAUUCGGUUAAUCGGCGUUCGGAUAAUCGGCGUUCUACUGUAUAAUAAAAUUUUUAAUUUUUCACUGUA
Molecule: long non-coding RNA, 327 nt
Organism: Maniola jurtina (meadow brown)
Lineage: Eukaryota; Metazoa; Arthropoda; Insecta; Lepidoptera; Nymphalidae
Exons: 3
Source: RefSeq, a predicted model, not a curated record